Molecule: ribosomal RNA, 978 nt
Filed under: uncultured bacterium
Lineage: Bacteria
Description: bacterial SSU rRNA
Rfam family: Bacterial small subunit ribosomal RNA
Source: RNAcentral
ACCCCGCGUGGAGGAAGAAGGUUUUCGGAUCGUUAACUCCUGUCCUUCGAGACGAGUAGAAGACGGUAUCCAAGGAGGAAGCCCCGGCUAACUACGUGCCAGCACCCGCGGUAAUACGUAGGGGGCAAGCGUUGUCCGGAAUAAUUGGGCGUAAAGGGCGCGUAGGCGGCUCGGUAAGUCUGGAGUGAAAGUCCUGCUUUUAAGGUCGGAAUUGCUUUGGAUACUGUCGGGCUUGAGUGCAGGAGAGGUUAGUGGAAUUCCCAGUGUAGCGGUGAAAUGCGUAGAGAUUGGGAGGAACACCAGUGGCGAAGGCGACUAACUGGACUGUAACUGACGCUGAGGCGCGAAAGUGUGGGGUGCAAACAAAAUUAGAUACCCUGGUAGUCCACACUGUAAACGAUGAAUGCUAGGUGUAGGGGGUAUCGACUCCUUCUGUGCCGCAGUCAACACAAUAAGCAUUCCGCCUGGGGAGUACGGCCGCAAGGUUGAAACUCAAAGGAAUUGACGGGGGCCCGCACAAGCAGCGGAGCAUGUGGUUUAAUUCGACGCAACGCGAAGAACCUUACCAGGUCUUGACAUCCACUUAAACUUACAGAGAUGUAAGGUGUGCUUGCACAAAGUGAGACAGGUGGUGCAUGGUUGUCGUCAGCUCGUGUCGUGAGAUGUUGGGUUAAGUCCCGCAACGAGCGCAACCCUUAUCUUCAGUUACUAACGCGUGAAGGUGAGGACUCUGAAGAGACUGCCGGGGACAACUCGGAGGAAGGUGGGGACGACGUCAAAUCAUCAUGCCCCUUAUGACCUGGGCUACACACGUGCUACAAUGGCCACGACAGAGAGAAGCGAAAUCGCAAGGUAGAGCGGAACUCAAAAAAGUGGUCCCAGUUCGGAUUGUGGGCUGCAACCCGCCCACAUGAAGUCGGAGUUGCUAGUAAUCGCGGAUCAGCAUGCCGCGGUGAAUACGUUCCCGGGCCUUGCACA